This 468-nucleotide ribosomal RNA is filed under the name uncultured bacterium. RNAcentral describes it as "partial 16S ribosomal RNA". It matches the Rfam family "Bacterial small subunit ribosomal RNA", at positions 28 to 507 of the family's 1533-position model. The record is from RNAcentral.
GACGAACGCUGGCGGCGUGCUUAACACAUGCAAGUCGAACGGAAAGGCCCUGCUUUUGUGGGGUGCUCGAGUGGCGAACGGGUGAGUAACACGUGAGUAACCUGCCCUUGACUUUGGGAUAACUUCAGGAAACUGGGGCUAAUAACGGAUAGGAGCUCCUGCUGCAUGGUGGGGGUUGGAAAGUUUCGGCGGUUGGGGAUGGACUCGCGGCUUAUCAGCUUGUUGGUGGGGUAGCGGCUUACCAAGGCUUUGACGGGUAGCCGGCCUGAGAGGGUGACCGGCCACAUUGGGACUGAGAUACGGCCCAGACUCCUACGGGAGGCAGCAGUGGGGAAUAUUGCACAAUGGGCGGAAGCCUGAUGCAGCAACGCCGCGUGCGGGAUGACGGCCUUCGGGUUGUAAACCGCUUUCGCCUGUGACGAAGCGUGAGUGACGGUAAUGGGUAAAGAAGCACCGGCUAACUACGUG